This is a non-coding RNA of Macaca mulatta (Rhesus monkey), 757 nucleotides long. Lineage: Eukaryota; Metazoa; Chordata; Mammalia; Primates; Cercopithecidae. The record is from RefSeq and is a predicted model, not a curated record.
ACCCAGACUCUGAGCAUACUGCAACCUGAGCGUGGGCUAAGCACUUCUUUCCCUCAAUCCUCCCAUGCCUCAUCUGUGAAAGGGGGCUGAUGGGACCAGCAAUGAUCCAGAUGGUGGCUGUGCUCUGUCUGCGUGGGUCCCAGAGUGAGACGCUGAGGUGCCGGUCUUGUUGAAUGGGGAGGGCUGCUCUCUGCUCUGGAGAUGGCACUGUGCUCUCACGUCCACAUUGUGGAAGGCAGAAGGCCAAGAGACACUGAGUGACGCGUCUUCUGUAAGGGACUCAAUCCCGUUCGUGAGGGCUCUGGCCUCAGGACCUAUUCAUCUUCCUAAAGGCCCCACCUCUUAACACUGUCACACUGGUGAUUACGUUUCAACACAUGAAUUUUGGGGGGACAUCAUCAUUCAAACCAUAGCACCAGGUGUCACUUGCCCUGUCCACCUUCUGGGGCUGUGGGAUGCCAACUCCGGGGUCCCUGGAUCUCACAGCAAGCUGCAGGGAGAAGCAUUUCCACUGAAACAUCUCCCAGACCUAGCUCUUCACUCGCUCACCCCCGCCUCCCCUUGGGAAGAGGAGGAACUCCUUUGAUUGCUGCAACCACCCAAUGGCAGAACAACCGGCUGAAGAGGGCAGAGUUCGACAUUGUCAUCAACUGGGAGAGAAGAACCGGCUUGUUUUGACAAUAUACUUUAAUAAAUUCAACCAAGUAGUCAAUAAAUAUUGAACUGAAUUGACCUGAAUAAUCUAAUAAUAAUCAAA